This 722-nucleotide ribosomal RNA is filed under the name bacterium enrichment culture. RNAcentral's name for it is "bacterial SSU rRNA". It matches the Rfam family "Bacterial small subunit ribosomal RNA", at positions 69 to 804 of the family's 1533-position model. The record is from RNAcentral.
CAGAUUGAAGCUUGCUUUGAACUGUUUUAGUGGCGGACGGGUGAGUAACGCGUGAGGAACCUGCCUUUCAGAGGGGGAUAACGUCUGGAAACGGACGCUAAUACCGCAUGACAUUUUGUUGCCGCAUGGUGAUAAAAUCAAAGGAGCAAUCCGCUGAGAGAUGGACUCGCGUCCGAUUAGCCGGUUGGCGGGGUAACGGCCCACCAAAGCAACGAUCGGUAGCCGGGCUGAGAGGCUGAACGGCCACAUUGGGACUGAGACACGGCCCAGACUCCUACGGGAGGCAGCAGUGGGGGAUAUUGCACAAUGGAGGAAACUCUGAUGCAGCAACGCCGCGUGAGGGAAGAAGGUUUUCGGAUUGUAAACCUCUGUCCUCAGGGACGAUAAUGACGGUACCUGAGGAGGAAGCUCCGGCUAACUACGUGCCAGCAGCCGCGGUAAUACGUAGGGAGCAAGCGUUGUCCGGAUUUACUGGGUGUAAAGGGUGCGUAGGCGGCACUGCAAGUCAGGUGUGAAAACCAUGGGCUUAACUUAUGGAUUGCACUUGAAACUGUGGUGCUUGAGUGAAGUAGAGGCAGGCGGAAUUCCCGGUGUAGCGGUGAAAUGCGUAGAGAUCGGGAGGAACACCAGUGGCGAAGGCGGCCUGCUGGGCUUUAACUGACGCUGAGGCACGAAAGCAUGGGUAGCAAACAGGAUUAGAUACCCUGGUAGUCCAUGCCGUA